UGUAUCUGAGGUCUGACGAGGAUGAGAACCUCCGGGGGCAAGAGGUUCGACUCGAGCGAAGCGAGAGAACGUUGCGUCAGCAACGGCCCGCAGGGUGAGCCACGCAGUGGCGAGUCAUCCUCUAUCACCGACCA
RNAcentral lists this small RNA (134 nucleotides) under Salmonella enterica subsp. enterica serovar Infantis. Its description in RNAcentral is "RtT sRNA". It matches the Rfam family "RtT RNA". From Rfam's summary of the family: This family represents a bacterial cis-regulatory element known as RtT RNA. Lineage: Bacteria; Pseudomonadati; Pseudomonadota; Gammaproteobacteria; Enterobacterales; Enterobacteriaceae. The record is from RNAcentral. RNAcentral also lists the same sequence under 18 other names.